Molecule: ribosomal RNA, 497 nt
Filed under: uncultured bacterium
Lineage: Bacteria
Description: partial 16S ribosomal RNA
Rfam family: Bacterial small subunit ribosomal RNA
Source: RNAcentral
GAUGAACGCUGGCGGCGUGCCUAAUACAUGCCAGUCGAGCGAACAGACGAGGAGCUUGCUCCUCUGACGUUAGCGGCGGACGGGUGAGUAACACGUGGAUAACCUACCUAUAAGACUGGGAUAACUUCGGGAAACCGGAGCUAAUACCGGAUAAUAUAUUGAACCGCAUGGUUCAAUAGUGAAAGACGGUUUUGCUGUCACUUAUAGAUGGAUCCGCGCCGCAUUAGCUAGUUGGUAAGGUAACGGCUUACCAAGGCAACGAUGCGUAGCCGACCUGAGAGGGUGAUCGGCCACACUGGAACUGAGACACGGUCCAGACUCCUACGGGAGGCAGCAGUAGGGAAUCUUCCGCAAUGGGCGAAGGCCUGACGGAGCAACGCCGCGUGAGUGAUGAAGGUCUUCGGAUCGUAAAACUCUGUUAUUAGGGAAGAACAAAUGUGUAAGUAACUAUGCACGUCUUGACGGUACCUAAUCAGAAAGCCACGGCUAACUACGUG